Molecule: ribosomal RNA, 416 nt
Filed under: Nanotrachia orientalis
Lineage: Eukaryota; Metazoa; Mollusca; Gastropoda; Stylommatophora; Camaenidae
Description: partial 16S ribosomal RNA
Rfam family: Archaeal large subunit ribosomal RNA (bases 1-139)
Source: RNAcentral
CAAAAACAUAGUUAUGAGAAUAUAUUCAUAAUAAUUUCUGCUCAAUGAUUUAUUAAAUAGCCGCAGUACUCUGACUGUGCAAAGGUAGCGUAAUAAUUUGACUUAUAAUUGAAGUCUGGUAUGAAAGAAUAUAUGGGGGGUAUCUUUAUUUUAUAUAUAAAAUGAAUUUACUAAUUAAGUGCAAAUUCUUAUAUUUGAAAGAUAGACGAGAAGACCCUAGAAAUUUUUAUAAUUAUGGAAAAUUAAUUUUUGUUGGGGCAACAAAGUAACAAGUAAUUUACUGUGCUAUACAAGAAUAUUAUAUAUGUUAGAUUAAAUUACUCUAGGGAUAACAGCGUAAUUUUAAAGAGUUUGCGACCUCGAUGUUGGACUAGGGAACAAAUGCUUAGAAGGCCAAAUGUAAAGCUCUGUUCGAG